RNAcentral lists this ribosomal RNA (441 nucleotides) under uncultured bacterium. Its description in RNAcentral is "partial 16S ribosomal RNA". It matches the Rfam family "Bacterial small subunit ribosomal RNA", at positions 338 to 795 of the family's 1533-position model. The record is from RNAcentral.
CCUACGGGAGGCAGCAGUGGGGAAUAUUGGGCAAUGGGCGCAAGCCUGAACCAGCAACGCCGCGUGAAGGAUGAAGGUUCUCGGAUUGUAAAACUCUGUUGCGAGGGAAGUAGAAUGACGGUACCUUGUAUGUAUGAAACGGCUAAAUACGUGACAGUAGCCGAGGUCAGUCGGAGGAGUCACGGGUUUUCCGGAGUGACUGGGUUUAAAGGGAGUGUGGGGGGUUAAGUAAGUUAGAUGUGAAAUCCCGCGGCCUAACUGCGGAAUUGCAUCUGAACCUGGUAGGCUAGAGUGCAGGUGAGGUAGGUGGAAUGCAUGGUGUAGCGGUGGAAUGCUUAGAUAUCAUGAAGAACACCGAUUGCGAAGGCAGCUCACUAGGCUCCUACUGACGUUGAGGCACGAAAGCGUGGGGAGCAAACAGGAUUAGAUACCCCAGUAGUC